CAUUGUCUUGCAUGUUGAUUUGCCCCGCACAUAGGCCAAUGGAAAGGCCAUCAUGCUAAAAUCCUUGCCACUGCUGCGCCGCUUACCGAUCAGCAUUGUCAAGGGUCUAACACCUACCAUGGUGGUGUCGGGUGACGGAGAAUUAGGGUUCGAUUCUGGAGAGGGAGCCUGAGAAACGGUUACCACAUCCAAGAAAGGCAGCAGGCGCCGCAAAUUACCCAAUCCUGACACGGGGACUUA
Molecule: non-coding RNA, 240 nt
Filed under: Nicotiana attenuata
Lineage: Eukaryota; Viridiplantae; Streptophyta; Magnoliopsida; Solanales; Solanaceae
Description: rRNA SSU_rRNA_eukarya
Rfam family: Eukaryotic small subunit ribosomal RNA
Source: Rfam by way of RNAcentral